UCUGUUUUUAACAAAAGAAAUCUGAUCAUGAAGUACACUUAGUAAAAGUCAUUCAAUUAUGUCCAUUGUUUAUAGGAAAAAAAUCUAAGGUUUUAGCAAGGUGUACGGUACACUUUAAAUCAGUUCCCUGUCUGCCUUGAUACCAGGGCAGACAGGGAAACUCACCCCUGGUCCUCUCACUCCAAAUAUGUCUUUAAGCAUUUAUGCAUGCCAUUCCUUCUUCUUGCAAUCCCCUUCUCCUAAAUUACCAGGAAACUCCUAUCCAUACUUCAAAGUUCAACUCAGAUAUCAUCUCUUUGAUGAAGUUUUUCUUUAUUCUCUCAGUAGCGCUACUUACCUUUCUGGAUUCCUGCAGAACUUUGCAGUACUGACUCCCACAACAGCAUUCAUGAGACUGUGCCUAAUUAUUUAUUCUGAAGGCCAUUUCCACUAGUCUUUGAACCCAGGGCCUUAUUUUACAUAUCUGCCUCCAGUUUCAAGCACGGUGCCAGUUAUAUAGUGAGUACUAAAUGAAUAUUUGCCCAAUGAGCAAAUAAAUAAUGAGUGUGAUUUCAUCCUCUUGCUGUUUGCUGAUAUAAAAUUUGAUAUUUUUUCUUUCUCUCUUCUGGGAUUUUCUUUUUAUAGGAUACUCAUGUAUAGGUUUGGCUGCUUAGCAGGUAUGAUGAGGCUUAUGACAUUUCCACAGCUUACUACCAUCCACUCUCCUAGACUAAGUUCAUUCAGCAAAUGAUGGAUCAUCCAGUUAUUGAAUCUUACAGCUGGAAAGGAUGGUGAGGAAUCAUUUGGUUCCUCCUUCUCCUCAAGGAAGGACUUGGGCUUCUGUUCCAUUGUAAGUGGGAGGGAAGAGAGGACUGUAUGAUUUCAGAUCUCAACAUCAUCUCAGUGUACACUUUUCCUUUCAAAUAUAUGUCCAAUAGUCCUUAAGAUAAGUCAUCAUGAUUUUGGACAGGAUGGGUUAUAGAAGUGACAGGGAUGGCCAGGCAUGGUGGCUCAUGCAUGUAAUCUCAGCACUUCGGGAGGCUGAGGCGGGUGGAUCACCUGAGGUCAGGAGUUCGAGACCAGCCUGACCUAUAUGAUGAAAUCCCAUCUCUACUAAAAACACAAAAAUUAGCCGGGCCUAGUGGCAUGCAUCUGUAAUCCCGGCUACUUGGGAGGCUGAGACAUGAGAAUCACUUGAACCUAGGAGGCAGAGGUUGCAGUGAGCUGAGAUUGUGCCACUGCACUCCAACCUGGGCAACAAGAGUGAAACUCCGAACUCCGUCUAAAAGAAAAAAAAAAAAAAAAAA
Molecule: long non-coding RNA, 1286 nt
Filed under: Macaca fascicularis (crab-eating macaque)
Lineage: Eukaryota; Metazoa; Chordata; Mammalia; Primates; Cercopithecidae
Description: lncRNA (ENSMFAG00000062066.1)
Source: RNAcentral